GACAACCCGAGGAAACUCGGGCUAAUACCGGAUGAUGUGCACACAUGUAAGUGUGUUCACUAAAGGAAGCUUCGGCCUCCGCAUCGGGAGGAGCUCGCGGCCCAUUAGCUUGUUGGUGGGGUAACGGCCCACCAAGGCGACGAUGGGUAGCUGGUCUGAGAGGACGAUCAGCCACACUGGGACUGAGACACGGCCCAGACUCCUACGGGAGGCAGCAGUGGGGAAUCUUGCGCAAUGCGCGAAAGCGUGACGCAGCAACGCCGCGUGAGGNAAGACGGCCUUCGGGUUGUAAACCUCUUUCAGGAGGGACGAAGGUUCACCGGUGAACAGCCGUGUGGAUUGACGGUACCUCCAGAAGANGCCCCGGCUAACUACGUGCCAGCAGCCGCG
Molecule: ribosomal RNA, 390 nt
Filed under: uncultured bacterium
Lineage: Bacteria
Description: bacterial SSU rRNA
Rfam family: Bacterial small subunit ribosomal RNA
Source: RNAcentral